GCCCGCUUGGCUCAGUGGUAGAGCGUGUCGCCAGUGCCGUCCCUAAGAAAUAUCUAUAGAACAGUAUCUGGUUAAUGGCAAGAUCAUCAGUUCGACUCUGAUAGUGGGUA
Molecule: non-coding RNA, 110 nt
Organism: Coniochaeta pulveracea
Lineage: Eukaryota; Fungi; Ascomycota; Sordariomycetes; Coniochaetales; Coniochaetaceae
Source: the annotation of a GenBank genome assembly